Molecule: ribosomal RNA, 1014 nt
Filed under: Triticum aestivum (bread wheat)
Lineage: Eukaryota; Viridiplantae; Streptophyta; Magnoliopsida; Poales; Poaceae
Description: partial small subunit ribosomal RNA
Source: RNAcentral
AUGUCUUCUUCUUCCUCGGUGGAAACAUCAUCGCGGCAACAAGACGACGCCAGAUCCAACGAAGAGCUCCUCUACCACAAGUUCACCAACGUGGUGUCAUCAUGGCCGACCACGCCAUCUCUUACCAAUCACCCGCUCUACCGCCAACGGCUGGUAUGCCCCCCUGGCGCCGAUGCUCUCCACGAUGGUGCCCCACGCGCCCCUCGGACAUCGUCAUCGCCACGGCGCCCCAAGUCCGGCACGACGUGGAUAAAAGCGAUGCUUUACUCCACGGUGCACCGGAGGGAGCACCCCGCGGCCGGCGGCUCCGGCCACCCACUCAACUCCCUCGGCCCACACGAGUGCGUCAAGUUCCUCGAGUACCAGCUCUACGUGCCGAACCAAAUCCCUGGCCUCGACGAGCUCACGGACCCCAGUCUCUUCGCCACGCACGCCCCGUUUGUGUCGCUGCCGGGGUCCGUGCCCGCGUCCGGCUGCAAGGUCGUGUACGUGUGCCGCGACCCCAAGGACGCCCUGGUCUCGCAAUGGAGCUUCGUCAACAAGUACAGGGCCAGGGACGGGAUGGAGCCGCUCUCCGUCAAGACCGCCGCCGGUUUCUUCUGCGACGGCGCCACGCUCUCCGGGCCGCACUGGGACCAUGUCCUCGGGUACUGGCGCGCGCACCUGGCGCAGCCGGAGCGGGUCCUCUUCCUCAGGUACGAGGAGAUGAGCCAGGACCCUGCCGCGUGCGUGCGGAAGCUGGCGGAGUUCAUCGGGCGCCCGUUCGCCAUGGAGGAGGAGGAGGAGGCGGGUGCCGUCGACGCCAUCGUCAACCUCUGCUCGUUCGACCACAUGACUGCGCUCGACGUGAUCAGGCGUCGGCAAGACGGAACUCCUGCUCGGUACGAUGGAGAACAGUUGGUUCUUCCGGCGCGGCCUCGUCGGGGAUUGGAAGAACCAUCUGUCGCCGGAGACUGCACGGAGGAUCGACGCCAUCACCAAGGCCAGGUUCAAAGGUUCCGGUCUCAUGCUUGA